This 2253-nucleotide long non-coding RNA is filed under the name Homo sapiens (human). RNAcentral's name for it is "C2CD4D and THEM5 antisense RNA 1 (C2CD4D-AS1)". The record is from RNAcentral. Lineage: Eukaryota; Metazoa; Chordata; Mammalia; Primates; Hominidae.
AGGCGCAGCCGCAGCCGCCCGGGCCCGGCCUGAUAUUCGGUGGAGAGCCGCAGCUGCCCGCCGCGGGGCCCCAGGCGCAGCACGCUCUCGCGCGUGGGCCGCAGCUGGCAGCACAGGAAGUCCAGGUGGAAGAGCGGCGGCGUGGGCGGCCCGGCGCGGCGCGGCGAGUGCGGGCUGGUAUCGGCCGAGCUCGCUUUUUCUGGGGACAGAGAGUGAGGCCUGGACACCCGGCGCCGGCCCAGGCCUGGCCGCGGGGAGCCGAAGGGCGACGAGUCCGGCGACGAGGCCGUGUCGCUGUCGGGGGCCCGGCAGAGGCGCAGGUCCGGGGCGGAGACGUGCAGCCGGGACUGCGCCGCGGGGAGUCCCCCGGCCGGGGCAGGUGGCGGCCCGUGGAACAGGGAUUCCCGCCGGCGCGUGUGCGGGCUCUCGGGCAGGAAGGCCCAGCCUUCGCGGCCCGCCAGGCUAGUCAAGUGAAGCAAUGGGAGUGGAGAUGGAACAAAGAAAUCUGCAAUUGGUUGUGAUCAAUUAGUUGUAAACACUACUGCACUUGGACCAACCUCUUCCUUUUCCUGACUGCUUAGGAAGGAUGGAAUGUAUUUCCUUCCUUCUGGGAGUGUUUGAAUGAAGAUUAGACUCUCCUUGACCAUGAAUGAAGAGCAACCAGUUUUUUAGUAUACAGUGAUUUAGACUCUGGGUCUAGAGUGUAGAUAUCAUGGGCACUGUGAAAGCACAGAAGGAGAAAAGGUUUUUAUUUUGGUGGGGCUUUGUGUCUGAAUUCUGGCCAAUGGAACCACGUGGAGGCCUGGCCCAGAACAUCUCCCUGUGGAUUCUCUCAUCUGGCAACUGGAUGCCUACACGAAGGGUGAUUUUGGAGUCAUGUGUUGGAGAUCACAAAGCUUUUGUCAGCCAGGUUCCUGAAUGACUGCUAGACACCAUGGGCUGAACUUUAUGAGCUCCAGCACCACCUCCAGCCUUCAGUGACUGUCUGGAGCAGGCAUCCGGAUGGAAGAGAAGGGGGACAACCAUGAACUUGGUGACCCACGGUCAGCCUGAUUUCCCUUGUGGACACAUUUAUGCCCAGUGUGCAUUCCUCCUGAGGUCUGUUCCAAGUCUGGAGGCAGCAGAGUAGAGUGGAGAGAACAGUGGACUUGGAAUCUCACCUCCCAGAUUAGAGUCCUGGAUCUGACUUUGAUUGCUGGUGCUGCCUCGGGCAAGUUACUUUAGCUGUGUGCAUCUCCAUUUCCCCAUGGAUAGAACAUGGGUUUUGGGUAGAAGUGUCUGAUAGCUGUACUGUGCUUUACGGUUCAUGAGCACGCACACAUAGGCCCAUAAUAUCAUAUCUCUGGUCACCCUGGCAGGUAGAUAUUAUUGCCCCAGGUUUCAGGUAAGAAGACUAAAGACCAGGGGUCAAUUGCUUGCUCAGAGUCCCACAGCCAGCAGCAGCCAGGCAGGACACCAAGUCAGAGUCUAGAUUCCGGAUCUUGCCCUCUUCCAAGUGUACCACAUUCUUCUCAAAGUGGCCUCUCAGGUCUUUUGUCCAGAAAAUUUUGAGACUUUGAUGAGAAGCCCAUAUCUGCACACUGGGGAUUAGGCCAGAUAACCCUGUGUGUCCUUCCAGGCCUGGUAUUGUGAGGCUGAAGCCUAGUGCCCCACACUCCCUUCCUCACCCCUUAGAGAAAGAUAGAGACUCCAGGGCCAGCCUGGUGGGUGCUGAACCUGCCCUGCUGAGCCAAGCCCAGGAGGCAGCCAAGGUCCUACCAGUGACCUUACCCUGGGGGCCCCUCCAGGUAGGAGCCUGGUUGGAAAAGACAGACCGACUUCUUCUGGGUUGGCUGGAAAAAGAUGACAUACUCAAAGCCUUGUCCUUCCACUUGGAUGCACCUGGUGAAGAUGCGACAGUCACCUUUGUCUGGGGAGAGAUAGGCAGUGUUGCAGCCGGAGAAGGGAGGGUAUGGUCAGGAUGCAGCACCAUUUGGUUGAGUCUUGCCUCUGGUACAAGAUUAAGGAGAGAAAACCAGAGGACACCAGGUCCACCCCCAGGGAGCCUUCCCUCUGGGAGCAGAGGCACAGUUGCUGUCCUCACAGAGCCUUUCUGUCUAGGGCAGAAACAUGCAGGAAGUGCCCUGGCUGAGAAUGGAGAUAGGAUCAGGGCCAGGGCAAGACUUUAAGAGACCAUAAGCAUUGAAAAUUGAAAAUGUAAUUACUCAUGUAACUCACAUAUAAUUCAAAAGAAUAAUAGUAAACAGUAAAAUA